Nelumbo nucifera (sacred lotus) is the source of this 2056-nucleotide long non-coding RNA. RefSeq lists it as uncharacterized. Lineage: Eukaryota; Viridiplantae; Streptophyta; Magnoliopsida; Proteales; Nelumbonaceae. The record is from RefSeq and is a predicted model, not a curated record.
CGGUUUUUCUCUCGGAACUGAGAAAGAAGACAUUAUCUUCCACUUGUUCCGAAUCUUUUGGUAGGUUUUUCUACUUCAAACCCUCAGUCUUUCGGUUGAGAAUACCCUAUCUCCCAUGAACAAUUCCAUUAUCACCCAUUUGGUUUCUCUCUUAGAAAUGAGAAAGAAGACCAUAUUUCCUACGUCUUUAUACUCUGUUUCAUUUGAGAAUGAACUCUCCCACAAAGUCUCCCACCAUUUCUCUCAUGACUGGGGAUUACAGUUAUCUGGAAAUCUAUAUAAAUGGGGUUUGUGCUUCCCUUGGAGUAUGCACAAUUCCAAUAGAGCAACCAGAGGACUCAUUUGUGAAAGAGGAAAGCAACGGAGGACUGAAUAUUCGACUAGAAGAGCAAUAGAAGGAAAGGAACUCAACCAAAUAAAAAGAGGAAUUUUUGAAGCAAGAGGGUUAGUGGUCGUUUGAGUUUUGUUAUCAACAGCAAUUGUGGCAAUUUCAUUUGGAGGAAGAUAAGGGAUCUGCAACACAAAAACGAUUUAUUAAUAAGAAGAAAGCAUGGUUACAACUAGAGGUUGUGAAAAAAAAUGAACACGGCCUUAGAAAAGCUGAUCCAACCCAAUAAUUACAAUUGAGCCCAAUAUAGAUGAGUACUUUGUACUCCUUGCUUUGCUAGACCAUCUGCUAAGUUGUUGGCAGUUCUCCUCACCCAUUUAACUUGGAUUGUCAUGUCCUUUGAUAGUCAUUUGAAUCGCUUGAAUUCAUUCCUCAAAUGCCAUGACACCCCUCAAUGAUUGGUCUAUCAAUAUCCAACUCUUUUGCCUUCUCGACUCCAUAUACUGCAGCUAAUUGUUUUGAUCUUGCCACAUCACCUUGUUCAGCAGGUCCUGAGUAUAAAGCUAUGAUGUUUCCUUCUUCAUCCCUAAUGACCCAAUAAACCUUAUCCGCAUUCAUUUUGGUGAAAUAAACCCAAUAAACCUUAUCCCAUUCCUUUCUUUAUUCUUCCCCUUGAUUCUUCCAACCGCAAUGUCUCUGUAAUGGUCCAAAAGUGCAUCGACUUAUUCCCCUUCCUUUGAUUGUUCCAAUCUCAACGUCUUUCAAGUGGUACAAAAAUGCACCAGUGCGUUCUUAAAGGACUCAACACUCUAAUUAAUCAAAAAUAAUUUUUUCUACGUGUGUAUUGAAAUUUUUUCUACAAUUUAUUUUUAAUCUUUUCAUACUUUAAUCAUGAUCAUGACAACAUCCCACGUGCAACGCACAUGCCCUCUUACUAGUACAAUUAAAAGAAGGGACAAGAUAAAUGGGAUAUGAGAAAAUUUAGAGAAAGCAAUAUAGAUAUGGUGAGAGAAAGAAAAAAGAAAAAUUAGAGAAAACACUCAUAAAAAGGCAAAAUCGAAUUGUAAAUCAUGUAUUCAAUAAUAUAAUUUCACAUUCUUGCAAAUUUUCAUAAAUUACUUUCCUGAUGACCGUGGUUAGAACUAGGGUUGUUCACAAAUAAAUUCAAACCGACCAACUCGGCCUGACCCAACCUGAUUUGACCUGUUUUUCUUCACCACUAGUCGGUUUCUGGUUGGAAAGAUGGAUAAACUGAUAAUUCGGUUCGGUUUGUGAAAACCGAAACUGAACUAAACCGAACCAAGUUAUCUAUAAAUCUGAAAUAUAUAUUUCGGAAAUGUAUAAAUUUAAACCAAAACCGACCCAAACCGACCAGGUUGGUUUUGCUUAAUAGAGGGUCGGUUUCGAUUUAAUCUUAAACGAAAAUUGAAGAAUGAUUAUCGCCAGUUGACUCCAUGCCAUCGUAGCUCAGUUGUGUAAUGAAAUUGCCGACGAUCUCUUGCUCUAUGGCUAGGGAUCUGAUGAAAAAUGGUGGGAAGGGGAAUUCGAAUGAGUGAGAGUAAAAAAAGAUAGUUUUAGUUGGUUUUGUCUUUUUCUAACCGGGUGAGUCGAAUUCACCCACUUAACGAGAGGAUAACAUUAACAAGAGCUAUAGAUUUGAAUAGGGCGAUGUGCACACCUCUUAUUAAGGUCUUGUUCAUUUUUCAAAAUGUCACUUACCCAAGUAAA